ACCCUUUUAGUAUUAACCAGUACAACUGACUUCCAAUCAGUUAGUUCCGGCACAAUCCGGAAAAGAGUA
RNAcentral lists this transfer RNA (69 nucleotides) under Phyllostomus discolor (pale spear-nosed bat). RNAcentral's name for it is "tRNA-Gly". Lineage: Eukaryota; Metazoa; Chordata; Mammalia; Chiroptera; Phyllostomidae. The record is from RNAcentral.